GCAGUCGCCGCGGGAAUACGUAGGUGGCAAGCGUUGCCCGGAAUUAUUGGGCGUAAGGCGCGCGUAGGUGGUUUAAUAAGUCUGAUGUGAAAGCCCACGGCUCAACCGUGGAGGGUCAUUGGAAACUGUUAAACUUGAGUGCAGGAGAGAAAAGUGGAAUUCCUAGUGUAGCGGUGAAAUGCGUAGAGAUUAGGAGGAACACCAGUGGCGAAGGCGGCUUUUUGGCCUGUAACUGACACUGAGGCGCGAUAGCGUGGGGAGCAAACAGGAUUAGAUACCCCUGUAGUCCCUGUCUCUUAUAC
RNAcentral lists this ribosomal RNA (302 nucleotides) under uncultured bacterium. RNAcentral's name for it is "partial 16S ribosomal RNA". It matches the Rfam family "Bacterial small subunit ribosomal RNA", at positions 508 to 807 of the family's 1533-position model. The record is from RNAcentral.